Molecule: ribosomal RNA, 407 nt
Filed under: uncultured bacterium
Lineage: Bacteria
Description: bacterial SSU rRNA
Rfam family: Bacterial small subunit ribosomal RNA
Source: RNAcentral
UGGGGGAUAUUGGACAAUGGGGGGAACCCUGAUCCAGCGACGCCGCGUGAGUGAAGAAGUAUCUCGGUAUGUAAAGCUCUAUCAGCAGGGAAGAAAGAAAUGACGGUACCUGACUAAGAAGCCCCGGCUAACUACGUGCCAGCGGCCGCGGUAAUACGUAGGGGGCAAGCGUUAUCCGGAUUUACUGGGUGUAAAGGGAGCGUAGACGGCAGGGCAAGUCUGGAGUGAAAGCCCGGGGCCCAACCCCGGGACUGCUUUGGAAACUGCCAUGCUGGAGUGCUGGAGAGGUAAGCGGAAUUCCUAGUGUAGCGGUGAAAUGCGUAGAUAUCUGGAGGAACAUCAGUGGCGAAGGCGACUAUCUGGCACAUAACUGACGCUGAGGAGCGAAAGCGUGGGUAGCAAACAGG